ACGGCUCAGUAACACGUGGAUAACCUGCCCUUGGGUCCGGCAUAACCCCGGGAAACUGGGGAUAAUUCCGGAUAACGCACAUAUGCUGGAAUGCUUUAUGCGUAAAAUGGAUUCGUCUGCCCAAGGAUGGGUCUGCGGCCAAUCAGGUAGUAGUGGGUGUAAUGUACCUACUAGCCAACAACGGGUACGGGUUGUGAGAGCAAGAGCCCGGAGAUGGAUUCUGAGACAUGAAUCCAGGCCCUACGGGGCGCAGCAGGCGCGAAAACUUUACAAUGCGGGAAACCGUGAUAAGGGGACACCGAGUGCCAGCAUCAUAUGCUGGCUGUCCAGGUGUGUAAACUACACCUGUUAGCAAGGGCCGGGCAAGACCGGUGCCAGCCGCCGCGGUAACACCGGCGGCCCGAGUGGUGAUCGUGAUUAUUGGGUCUAAAGGGUCCGUAGCCGGUUUGGUCAGUCCUCCGGGAAAUCUGAUAGCUCAACUAUUAGGCUUUCGGGGGAUACUGCCAGGCUUGGAACCGGGAGAGGUAAGAGGUACUACAGGGGUAGGAGUGAAAUCUUGUAAUCCCUGUGGGACCACCUGUGGCGAAGGCGUCUUACCAGAACGGGUUCGACGGUGAGGGACGAAAGCUGGGGGCACGAACCGGAUUAGAUACCCGGGUAGUCCCAGCCGUAAACGAUGCUCGCUAGGUGUCAGGCAUGGCGCGACCGUGUCUGGUGCCGCAGGGAAGCCGUGAAGCGAGCCACCUGGGAAGUACGGCCGCAAGGCUGAAACUUAAAGGAAUUGGCGGGGGAGCACA
RNAcentral lists this ribosomal RNA (797 nucleotides) under uncultured Methanosarcinaceae archaeon. RNAcentral's name for it is "bacterial SSU rRNA". It matches the Rfam family "Archaeal small subunit ribosomal RNA", at positions 85 to 880 of the family's 1478-position model. The record is from RNAcentral. Lineage: Archaea; Methanobacteriati; Methanobacteriota; Methanomicrobia; Methanosarcinales; Methanosarcinaceae.